UAAUGUAUGGGGAUCUGCCCCGAUAGAGGGGGGUAACUACUGGAAACGGUGGCUAAUACCGCAUAAUGUCUACGGACCAAAGCAGGGGCUCUUCGGACCUUGCACUAUCGGAUGAACCCAUAUGGGAUUAGCUAGUAGGUGGGGUAAAGGCUCACCUAGGCGACGAUCUCUAGCUGGUCUGAGAGGAUGAUCAGCCACACUGGGACUGAGACACGGCCCAG
RNAcentral lists this ribosomal RNA (221 nucleotides) under uncultured bacterium. RNAcentral describes it as "partial 16S ribosomal RNA". It matches the Rfam family "Bacterial small subunit ribosomal RNA", at positions 111 to 334 of the family's 1533-position model. The record is from RNAcentral.